AACGCUGGCGGCAGGCUUAACACAUGCAAGUCGAGCGGGGAGAUGUAGCUUGCUACUUUUCCUAGCGGCGGACGGGUGAGUAAUGCUUAGGAAUCUGCCUAUUGGUGGGGGACAACAUUCCGAAAGGAAUGCUAAUACCGCAUACCCCCUACGGGGGAAAGCAGGGGAUCUUCGGACCUUGCGCCAAUAGAUGAGCCUAAGUCAUAUUAGCUAGUUGGUGGGGUAAAGGCCUACCAAGGCGACGAUCUGUAGCGGGUCUGAGAGGAUGAUCCGCCACACUGGGACUGAGACACGGCCCACACUCCUACGGGAGGCAGCAGUGGGGAAUAUUGGACAAUGGGCGAAAGCCUGAUCCAGCCAUGCCGCGUGUGUGAAGAAGGCCUUUUGGUUGUAAAGCACUUUAAGCGAGGAGGAGGCUACUUAUAUUAAUACUCUAGGAUAGUGGACGUUACACGCAGAAUAAGCACCGGCUAACUCUGUGCCAGCAGCCGCGGUAAUACAGAGGGUGCGAGCGUUAAUCGUAUUUACUGGGCGUAAAGCGUGCGUAGGCGGCUUUUUAAGUCGGAUGUGAAAUCCCUGAGCUUAACUUAGGAAUUGCAUUCGAUACUAGGAAGCUAGAGUAUGGGAGAGGAUGGUAGA
This 639-nucleotide ribosomal RNA is filed under the name uncultured bacterium. RNAcentral describes it as "bacterial SSU rRNA". It matches the Rfam family "Bacterial small subunit ribosomal RNA", at positions 32 to 665 of the family's 1533-position model. The record is from RNAcentral.